This 229-nucleotide unclassified non-coding RNA is filed under the name plant metagenome. RNAcentral describes it as "partial contains small subunit ribosomal RNA, internal transcribed spacer 1, and 5.8S ribosomal RNA". The record is from RNAcentral.
UCUCCGUUGGUGAACCUGCAGAGGGAUCAUUACAGAGUUCAUGCCCUACCGGGUAGAUCUCCCACCCUAUGUUAUUAUUACUUUGUUGCUUUGGCGGGCCGUUAGGCUCCGGCCCGACUACCGGCCCCGGCUGGUAAGCGCCCGCCAGAGGACCCAAAACCCUGAAUAUUAGUGUCGUCUGAGUACUAUAUAAUAGUUAAAACUUUCAACAACGGAUCUCUUGGUUCUG